Molecule: ribosomal RNA, 603 nt
Filed under: uncultured fungus
Lineage: Eukaryota; Fungi
Description: eukaryotic LSU rRNA
Rfam family: Eukaryotic large subunit ribosomal RNA
Source: RNAcentral
ACCCGCUGAACUUAAGCAUAUCAAUAAGCGGAGGAAAAGAAACCAACAGGGAUUGCCCUAGUAACGGCGAGUGAAGCGGCAACAGCUCAAGUUUGAAAUCUGGCGUCUUUGGCGUCCGAGUUGUAAUUUGCAGAGGGCGCUUUGGCAUUGGCAGCGGUCCAAGUUCCUUGGAACAGGACGUCACAGAGGGUGAGAAUCCCGUACGUGGUCGCUAGCCUUUACCGUGUAAAGCCCCUUCGACGAGUCGAGUUGUUUGGGAAUGCAGCUCUAAAUGGGAGGUAAAUUUCUUCUAAAGCUAAAUACUGGCCAGAGACCGAUAGCGCACAAGUAGAGUGAUCGAAAGAUGAAAAGCACUUUGGAAAGAGAGUUAAAAAGCACGUGAAAUUGUUGUAAGGGAAGCGCUUGCAGCCAGACUUGCCUGUAGUUGCUCAUCCGGGUUUUUACCCGGUGCACUCUUCUAUAGGCAGGCCAGCAUCAGUUUGGGCGGUUGGAUAAAGGUCUCUGUCAUGUACCUCUCUUCGGGGAGAACUUAUAGGGGAGACGACAUGCAACCAGCCCGGACUGAGGUCCGCGCAUCUGCUAGGAUGCUGGCGUAAUGGCUGU